CCAUAGGAUCCAGCUGCUCCAGCAGGCUGCAAAUUCAUAUGACCUGGAGCCCGAUGAGCGAUUUGGGGCCUGGUUCCAGGCCAUGGAGCCCAUCAGUGUCCAUGAGAGCUACUGGGUCUCCUGCCGGCUGGAGCCCGCACACCAGAAGGCGAGCAAAAUGCGGCUCUUCAGGAGAAAGAGGAACCGGACAUCCUCCAGUUUAGGGCCGACCACCGUGCCCUUGGCGAUGAGCCAUAACCCUCUGGAGACCACAAGUUCAGCUCCUCCUGAGCAGCAGGGCCACUGGGACCCUCGGG
This is a long non-coding RNA of Diceros bicornis minor, 296 nucleotides long. RefSeq lists it as uncharacterized. The record is from RefSeq and is a predicted model, not a curated record. NCBI's taxonomy places the organism in Eukaryota, Metazoa, Chordata, Mammalia, Perissodactyla, Rhinocerotidae. The transcript has 3 exons.